UACAGAGGUCUCGAGCGUUGUUCGGAUUCAUUGGGCGUAAAGAGCGUGUAGGCGGCCAUACAGGUCCGUUGUGAAAACUCGAGGCUCAACCUCGAGACGUCGAUGGAAACCGUAUGGCUAGAGUCCGGAAGAGGAGAGUGGAAUUCCUGGUGUAGCGGUGAAAUGCGCAGAUAUCAGGAAGAACACCCGUGGCGAAGGCGGCUCUCUGGGACGGUACUGACGCUGAGACGCGAAAGCGUGGGGAGCGAACAGG
Molecule: ribosomal RNA, 253 nt
Filed under: uncultured bacterium
Lineage: Bacteria
Description: partial 16S ribosomal RNA
Rfam family: Bacterial small subunit ribosomal RNA
Source: RNAcentral